GAUAAAUCACGUGUUUUUAUGGCACUUUAAAUCCAUAUCCACCUUGUGUGCAAUGUCAUCUCACUGGGGUUACGUUUGUAAAAUUUCGUGAUCCGUUUGGGAUUUAUAUCUACUCAGAACUUUAGUCAUUUUGUCUGAAACAUAUUAUGAAUAACUUAAUUCAAAAUACAACUUUCAACAACGGAUCUCUUGGCUCUCGCAUCGAUGAAGAACGCAGCGAAAUGCGAUACGUAAUGUGAAUUGCAGAAUUCAGUGAAUCAUCGAAUCUUUGAACGCAUAUUGCGCUCUCUGGUAUUCCGGAGAGCAUGCUUGUUUGAGUAUCAGUAAACACCUCAACUCCCUUUCUUCUUGAAAUGGAGCUGGACUUGAGUGAUCCCAACGCUUUAUUCAUAAAGUGGCGGGUUACUUGAAAUGCAGGUGCAGCUGGACUUUUCUCUGAGCUAUAAGCAUAUCUAUUUAGUCUGCCUCAAAAACAGAUUAUUACCUUUGCUGCAGCUAACAUAAAGGAGAUUAGUUCUUGUGCUGACUGAUGCAGGAUUCACAAAGACCGCUUCGGCUGUCUUUGUAAACUCGAUCUCAAAUCAAGUAAGACUACCCGCUGAACUUAAGCAUAUCAAAAGCGGGGAAGGAAUG
RNAcentral lists this ribosomal RNA (633 nucleotides) under Mortierellaceae sp. QLF92. Its description in RNAcentral is "eukaryotic LSU rRNA". The stretch from base 170 to 323 matches the Rfam family "5.8S ribosomal RNA". The record is from RNAcentral. Lineage: Eukaryota; Fungi; Mortierellomycota; Mortierellomycetes; Mortierellales; Mortierellaceae.